GACAUGAAGUCAGGCCACUAAACCCGCUGAAUUUAAGCAUAUAAGUAAGCGGUGGAAAUGAAACUAAACAGGAUUCCUUUAGUAAUGGCGAAUGAACAGGGAAUAGCUCAGAAUGAGAAUUAGGGCUGCAAGCCCUGACGUGUUGUCUGGAGAUUGACUGCCAACAUUUGUGCAGAUGAAAGACUCUUGGAAAAGAGUGCCACUGAGGGUGAGAGUCCCGUGUGACAUCUGUAGCUUUUGUGCACGGCAGUUCUAUCCAAGAGUCAUGUUUCUUGGGAUUGAAGCAUAAAGGGGGUGGUAAAUUCCAUCUAAAGCUCAAUAUAGGCUCAAGACCGAUAGAAGACAAGUACCAUGAGGGAAAGAUGAAAAGGACUUUGAAAAGAGAGGUAACAGUGCCUGAACUUGCUGAAAGAGAAGGGAAUGGAACCAGAACAUGCAGCAAGAUUGCAACUCUUGGUAGGCUUGUCAUGGUGUCCUGAACACAUGUUCUGGCACCAUUACAACUUAGCAUGGGUUGUGUUGCUUGCUGUUUGUGUCAUUGGCAGCAUUGUUGUACGUGAUAUUCUUUGCAUCUUGAUUGUGCUUUCUGAAGGACAUGAAGAGCAUUGGGCAUCCUACUGCAGUGCUGCUCUCCACGUUUCUUGCUCAGCUGAAGCCUUGUACUCAGGAUCUUUCACAGGUCCUGCACUAGGAGGGGGAUGCUUGCAUGAACGAUCCAUUUGGCUCAAUGGUUCUAUUCUACCCGUCUUGAAACACGGACCAAGGAGUCUAACACGUGUGCAAGUUUCAGACUUGUAARUGUCCUGUUGCGAAAUGAAAAUGUGUGCUGUGAUAUUUUGCAACAGCUUCCAACUGAUCAAUUGUGAGAGGUUUGAGUGUGAGCAUACUUGUUAGGACCCGAAAGAUGGUGAACUAUGCCUGAGAAGGGCAAGCUCAGGGGAAACUCUGAUGGAGGCUCGCAGCGGUACUGACGUGCAAAUCGUUCGUCAUACUUGGGUAUAGGGGCGAAAGACUAAUCGAACCAUCUAGUAGCUGGUUCCCUCCGAAGUUUCCCUCAGGAUAGCUGGAGUUGUGGAGUUUUAUCAAGUAAAGCGAAUGAUUAGAGGACUCGGGGACGUGCUGUCCUCGACCUAUUCUCAAACUUUAAAUGGGUAAGAUCCAGUGGUUUCUUUUCUGAACUUCUGGGAUAAAUGUAAACUCUAAGUGGGCCAUUUUUGGUAAGCAGAAUUGGCGAUGAGGGAUGAACCUAACGCUGUGUUAAGGUGCUGAACUGCUCGCUCAUCAGAUGCCACAAAGGGUGUUGGUUCAUUUUGACAGCAGGACGGUGGUCAUGGAAGUCGAAAUCCGCUAAGGAGUGUGUAACAACUCACCUGCCGAAUGAACUAGCCCCGAAAAUGGAUGGCGCUCAAGCGUGUGACCGAUACACAGCCAUUUUUGCAAGCAUGCAUCAAUGAGUAGGAGGGCAUGGAUGUGGUGGAGAAGCUUUGUUGUGAAACAACUUGGAGCAGCAUCCAGUGCAGAUCUUGGUGGUAGUAGCAAACAUUCAAAUGACAACUUUGAAGACUGAAGAGGAGAAGGGCUCCAUGUGAACAGCAAUUGGACAUGGGUUAGUCGGUCCUAAGGGACAGGUUUGCUCCGCUCAGAGAAGCUCUGCUUCGUCUCUUGAAAGGGAAUGGGGUUAAUAUUCCUCAACAUGGACUUGGAUACUGUAUGGCAACAUAAGGGAUUUCAGCAACGCAGUUGGGAGUUCUGGGCAGCGUUGUCUUUUCUUUUUAACUGCCUAAUGCCC
This 1789-nucleotide ribosomal RNA is filed under the name Esoptrodinium sp. HP. RNAcentral describes it as "eukaryotic LSU rRNA". It matches the Rfam family "Eukaryotic large subunit ribosomal RNA", at positions 1 to 1720 of the family's 3401-position model. The record is from RNAcentral. Lineage: Eukaryota; Dinophyceae; Gymnodiniales; Tovelliaceae.